AAGGGCCGUACUUGUACGGUCUGGGAAGUGGCGGACGGGUGAGUAACACGUUGGAACCUGCCUUAGAGUUGGGGACAACCACUGGAAACGGUGGCUAAUACCCGAUAGACUCGGGAGAGUAAAGGUUACUUGGGUAACUGCUUUAAGAGGGGCCUGCGGGCUAUCAGCUAGUUGGUGAGGUAAGAGCUUACCAAGGCGAAGACGGCUAGGGGGCGUGAGAGCGCGACCCCCCACAAUGGGACUGAGACACGGCCCAU
RNAcentral lists this ribosomal RNA (257 nucleotides) under uncultured bacterium. Its description in RNAcentral is "partial 16S ribosomal RNA". It matches the Rfam family "Bacterial small subunit ribosomal RNA", at positions 71 to 334 of the family's 1533-position model. The record is from RNAcentral.